AUUUAUAUGCCACUCGUUCUGUCUUUAUCAAUCAUCGAAUCCAUCUCUUAUCUUAGUACCAUAGGAUUCGAUGUCUCGACCCAAUCCUUAUCUAUCCACUAUAGCAAGCAUUCCACUCAUACUACGAUAUCAUUUAGGAAAGCAUAAGGAAAUGGCAAUGCACAUUUAUCCUACAAUGCAUAUAUGCAAGAGAUGCUAGAUUAUAAUGCACUAAGACAUAAAGAGGAGCCGGGUUGCUUCGGGAUGACACUACCCACCUUCUGGUGUUGUCACGACUUUAGGAAUGCGAUUCGGCGAUUUUACGACGUCGUCUCGGCCUCCCAGGCGAAACGAAGCUCGGAAGGUCCUUAUUGUGAAUAACUUUGCACCCGCUCAACGAAUCUUCGAACCAUCUUCACCAACGCGUUUAAACACUUAGAAAUUAGGUUUACACUUGAUCAAUUUAGAUCAAUACCCAACAAAUCACAAAACCCCCAUUUUGGAGCCCUAACUUGCAAUCAUGCAAGAAUCCAUCUCUAAAUCCCCAAACUCAUGCAUUAAAAACUUAUUAAGCAUGCUAGAGUUCCAACUAAACCAAUUCUAGAGCACAAAAUCCAAACCCUAGAAAUCUAUCAUGGUUGAGCUUCAAGCUUACCUCCAAAAGCUAGCUCCAAUGGUGGAGAUAAAGAAGAAGAUGACGAAGAUCCUUCUCCUAGCUUGCUCCUCCACCAAAACCGACUCCUUCUUCACCUUCUAGAGAGAGAGAAAGAGAUCUUAGAGAGAGAGAGGGAGCUCUAGGUCACAAAAGGAGAGAAUGAGAGAAAGAGAGAGUUGUCUCCCAUCUAUACCCCUUCAUAAGUGCAUAAUUGCACAAAACACCCUCAUAAUGCAACCAUGACACAGCCCAGCCCUGGGCAUUUUCGAGCUACGGGGACCGGUCUCUCUAAGAGGGACCGGUCCCCGAGAGUGGCUUAUUUAUAGAAAAGGGCCCUCCCCCUUUUCCACGUUUACGGGGACCGGUCUCUCCAACGAGGGACCAGUCCCUGAGAGCACACUCUCGCAGGACAGCCCCCUUGCUCAAAUUGCAUACCUCGGGGACCGGUCUCUCCCGCCAGGGACCGGUCCCCGAGAGCAAGUUUUGUGCGCAGAGCCUUCUGCCACAUUUUCCAAGCUACGAGGACCGGUCUUUCCCACCAGGGACCGGUCUCCGAGAGCAAAAUCUGCAAUUGUGCAGAUUUGCACCAUUUGCUCUCCGAGGCCCUCCUCUAAUACACUUUUUGGGUUUCUGACGCCUUCGGCCUUUUCGAAGCAUACCCAACCGACAAUCAGUCGAUUUUAAUCGAAAUCCAACUCUCGCAUUUUGAGAAUUCACUUUCUUACAGUACCGGUACCUACUUGUCACGUACCGGUACCGAGCCCAAGUACCGGUACUACAUCGGGCGAUUACCGGUACCUAGUAUACGAGACAGUAGAUUGAGAGGCCGAGUAUCGAUAUUCAAGUUGAGUACCGAUACUCCAACUGUAAUUUUGAGUUGGUGAGGGGUAGUUUGGUCCUUUGAAAUGUCAUUCAUUCUUAUAUAACCCAGCCUUUAUAUGUUUACAGAAAGAGCUUUAGAGAAGGAAAUUCUACUUCUUUUCCUCUCUCUCUAGCUAGUGGACACCGUAUGUUGUAGAGGUCGCGACUCGAGCUCGGGUGGAUUUCGACGUUGCUCCGGAGGACCGUUUGUGCGCGUGAGUGUCGCGAUUACGUCGUUGGAGGUCAGGCGAGCACGUUGGUUCCCUCCUAUCGACUUCUAACCGACGUUGGACGAGCGUUCGAGGUGGGUUGAUGUUUACCGAAAUUGUCGGAUUUCCUUUUAUGUCCUAAAAGUAUCAGCAUGUAUAAUUUUCAUGUGUAGUAUUAUGUUUAGUAGCUUGAAUUCAUUGAUUGGUAUAGUUUUGUGAAAUCUGAAUUUGGAGCCUUAUUGUUGAUAUAUUUUACAUGUUGAACUUGGAAUUGACUUAGGAGAAAACACGUUAUAACCUACACUGUUAUUUUUCUGAAAAGUUAUCAAAUUUAGCUUUAGGAGCUGUGGUUCUUUUGGUAUUCUCGUUGUUAGUGCGUGCUGGAUACCCAGAUUAGUGUAGGAUGAGUUUACGCUCGUGUUGGGAGGUUGAGCUUGUUUUACAGUUGUGUGUAGACUGUUUUGUAUUGUCGGGUGCCAUUGUGGUUGACGGUGGACCCAGAUUUGCAUCAGAUUGUGUCAAGGACACGUGAGCUUUGGUUGUUAGACCAGUUAGACCUUUUUACAUUGACUACAGCCUGUGAGAAUUUGAUUGAGCUCGGCAGAGACACGCUUGCAUACUCGGUUGGGUCGCGCCCACGAGUGCAGCUCCGGAAUGAGGCUUUUACUUGCGUUGAUGUCGCAGCCGUCCUGUUUUGGACUGUUUACUUAGACCGGCCAUCCCCGUUGGUGGUGUACGGUGCAGCUUGGUUACAGACAUGGUGGAUUCGUUUGGGCAGCCCUAGUGAGAUUGGGUCAGUGUGAUAUAUGUUUUGUUUAUCUACAGAUAACAUAUGUGGGUUAGCGAUAAUACA
Molecule: long non-coding RNA, 2557 nt
Filed under: Ananas comosus (pineapple)
Lineage: Eukaryota; Viridiplantae; Streptophyta; Magnoliopsida; Poales; Bromeliaceae
Description: long non-coding RNA (ACOM_LNC008896)
Source: RNAcentral